AUCCCAAUAGCUCAGUGGUUAGAGCACUGGUACGUUGAACCAGAAACCUUGUGUUCGAUUCACAGUUGGGACU
Paramuricea clavata is the source of this 73-nucleotide non-coding RNA. Lineage: Eukaryota; Metazoa; Cnidaria; Anthozoa; Malacalcyonacea; Plexauridae. The record is from the annotation of a GenBank genome assembly.